AGGAUGAACGCUGGCGGCGUGCUUAACACAUGCAAGUCGAGCGAGAAGCUCGUGAACGAUUCUUCGGAUGAGUGAUCGAGUGGAAAGCGGCGGACGGGUGAGUAACGCGUAGGCAACCUGCCCCAUACAAAGGGAUAGCUACUGGAAACGGUAAUUAAUACCUCAUAACACGGAGAGACCGCAUGAUCUUUCCGUCAAAGAUUUAUCGGUAUGGGAUGGGCCUGCGUCUGAUUAGCUGGUUGGUGGGGUAACGGCCCACCAAGGCGACGAUCAGUAGCCGACAUGAGAGGGUAAACGGCCACAUUGGAACUGAGACACGGUCCAAACUCCUACGGGAGGCAGCAGUGGGGAAUAUUGCACAAUGGGGGGAACCCUGAAUGCAGCAACGCCGCGUGAGCGAAGAAGGCCUUUGGGUCGUAAAGCUCUGUCCUGAAGGAAGAAGGAAGUGACGGUACUUCAGGAGGAAGCCCCGGCUAACUACGUGCCAGCAGCCGC
This 495-nucleotide ribosomal RNA is filed under the name uncultured bacterium. Its description in RNAcentral is "bacterial SSU rRNA". It matches the Rfam family "Bacterial small subunit ribosomal RNA", at positions 26 to 518 of the family's 1533-position model. The record is from RNAcentral.